CCUACGGGAGGCAGCAGUGGGGAAUAUUGGACAAUGGGGGAAACCCUGAUCCAGCGACGCCGCGUGAGUGAAGAAGGAUUUCGGUACGUAAAGCUCUAUCAGCAGGAAAGAAAAGGACGGUACCUGACUAAGAAGCCACGGCUAACUACGUGCCAGCAGCCGCGGUAAUACGUAGGGGGCAAGCGUGAUCCGGAUUUACUGGGUGUAACGGGAGCGUAGCCGGCAGCGCCGGUCUGGAGUGAAAUGCCGGGGCCCCACCCCGGAACUGCUCUGGAAACGGUGAAGCUGGAGUGCAGGAGAUGUAAGCGGACUUCCUUGUGUAGCGGUGAACUGCGUAGCUAUCAGGAGGCACCCCGGCGCCGACGGCGGCUUACUGGACUGUACCUGACGUUGAGGCUCGAAGGCGUGGGGAGCAAACAGGAUUAGAUACCCUAGUAGUC
Molecule: ribosomal RNA, 440 nt
Filed under: uncultured bacterium
Lineage: Bacteria
Description: partial 16S ribosomal RNA
Rfam family: Bacterial small subunit ribosomal RNA
Source: RNAcentral